Long non-coding RNA from Salvelinus namaycush (lake trout), 2609 nucleotides. RefSeq lists it as uncharacterized. The transcript is spliced from 3 exons. NCBI's taxonomy places the organism in Eukaryota, Metazoa, Chordata, Actinopteri, Salmoniformes, Salmonidae. The record is from RefSeq and is a predicted model, not a curated record.
AUGAACUGUAACUCAGUAAAAUCUUUGAAAUUGUCGCAUGUUGCAUUGAUAUUUUUGUUCAGUGUAAUUAUUUUCCUAAGUUAGCAAUGUCAUGGUAUUUCCAUGUCACUCUAAGUUAGAGUAAUUUAGAUGAAACAGUCACAUUAGCCUUCGAGGUGCAACCCAUGUCUAGGGCACAAAUUGGAUGCAGCUAUGGUGGUACUAGCUAACUCAUGUCUGACUACAGCAACAAACUCAAACCAACCCAGGACCAUAGCAGAACAUGUCACAGUUGGUUGCGUAGUGUAAGGGCGUCACCGGUCUGAGUCUAAUCCAAUCUGGAGCCAGUCAGUCUAUAUCUAUGAAGCAUAGAAUUAGCUUCCAAACAAGAUUAUGUUCUUUCUCGAGCUAUGUUUAUAUUUGAGGUAUGAUGAUAGUUGUUGACCGUGUUUUUUAAAUUUUAGACAAAGUGCACAGUUGGGUGCCAGAGUCAUCCCCUGGUGAUGAAUGGAUUCCGGGACCUACCAGAAGGAGCAAAGUUGGAUUUCAUUACAUGUCCAGCAAUGUGAUUGCAAUGGUUUAGCGACCGCCAAAAAUCAUUUUAUUCACUGUUCACCUGCUAUUUUCACAGCUUGUCAGGCAAGACCUCAGAAUAUAACUGUGUAAUGCGACAUAACUACCCUUGUGACACCUCCUCCAUUGUCGCCAGUCUCCCUUGAAUCCUAUGUCAAGGACAGGCCCUCAUGAUGACACAGGUGGCUUCAUCAACAAUGACAGGUAAUGAUGUGUGUUAUGUGAAAAGUUGUAUUAAAAAAUAACCCUCUUGAUAAAAUAGUAGGCUAAUUCCCCAGCCAAGCAGACGCAACUAGUAGAGUCAUUUUGGUUGUGAAGUGUCACAGACUCUCCCAGUCAACGCCGCCUCAUAAGAUUGCCUGCUGCAGUUGUUCGAGAGCUGUCCAGUUUGAAUCCGAACAUGCAACAUAGAAAAGACCAGUAAGGGGGCCCUUUUAAGCAUCAUGCAGACAAGCCCUCGCUGUGAGCAUUCCUAUGAAUGGAACAGUCAGCCAUAUGUUGGCAAGUAUCCGGCCAGCAAACUUCACCUGUCAACAGCAACAGUUUUCACAAGCUCAUCAUUUAUACAAAUACAGAAGGUAAGCCACUUCAUUACUUUGAUACCUUUGAGAACCCAAUUGUGAAACAAUUUAUGUAAACUGACCAUUUUUGUUGCUUAUUUUCUACUUCUUAGAUGCAUAUAAUGUCUCGAGCAUAACCUAGCCUGGUGGAACCAGCCUGAUCGAAGUGAGUUAGAAAGGUGAAUGCUGGGUUCCACCAGGCUAGUCAUAACCAUCAUAACCACCACUGAUAACGUAAUCAGUGCUGUGCGUGUGCGACGGACCAGUAUCUUUGAUGAGAGGCCAGGAGCUGAUCUACGCUGCUGUGUCCAUCAACGGGGCUCUGGCAAGGACCUCACCUCACCUCCAGCCUCGCCUCUUGCCUGCUCACCUCCAGCCUCACUCAUUAGACGCAUGAGAUGCAGAGAGACCUGGCACUCAACCCAUCCACUCAACACAUCCACAAUGAGACGGACUGGAGACCAUAGGCUUUAUCUGACCUGUUCAAACUUCAACAUAGUACCUGUUUGUGUGUCGGAUAUCACCUAUCCUAACUGCCAUUGGUGAAUAGAACAGUGACUAUGUGUGUACGUGUUCACUGAAACAAAUCCAGACUGAGAGAGACUUGGCACUCUGCAUUCAGAUUUGUACGAGACACAACGUUUACUUUGAAUUAUUGAAUUGAAUGGUAUCAGUCAAUAUUGGGAGAGGAAAAACCCUGUGUAUUCUGCAGGAAGGUAUGACCACUCUGACAUGUUUGCCAAGGUAGCCCCAUUACCACCAGACAAAAUGUUGAUAGUCACAGUGUCUGUAUCCGCUGGGAAUGACAAUGAAAGACGAAAGGUUCACAUUGUUAUAUUAGCAAAACACUGCUGCUAUGGUAUUAUGUAAAGGGUUGAUUAUUCUACAUGGACCUGAUACAUUUCAAAGUUAUCAAAACACGUACUUUAGAAUAUCUACAUAAAUGCUGCAAUUGCAUUCUUCUCAUAACUCUGUAGGCUACUGACAUUUCCAAGCUUCCUCCGGCAUCUCACCAUACAUCUGCCUGUAGUUACUGAACUCAACCUGCAGGUUUAUUUUUGUUGUUGUGAUGGAGUUUGGGGAAGCAGCUGCUGGCAAGGUGAGUUUGUCUUGGUGGUGGCAAGGAACCACACCCCCAAACCAACUCAUGUUUGGCUUCUGUCAUGGCCGCCAGCAUUUCUUGAGGAGCAAGCCAAAAAAUGAAAUCAGCGGAUGCAGUUCCACUUUAAAUGUCUUGAAUUGUUGGUUAGCAAAAGAGAGCAACAACUUUUUGUGACAGAUUAUGUUUCUCUACCUUUUCUCGUUUAAGUCAAUUUCAGUCCCCUAUUAAGCCCACCAAAAUCUAAGUUGAGAUAUUACUAACAUAUACUGCCGUACUUCCUUGUAAGAAAAGUGGAGAUAAAAUGGAAGAUGAAUCUCUCAUGUGACGUUUUAUGAUUUAACUUUUUUUUAAAUUGUAAGACAUCCAAAUAUGUGAUAAAAUAUGUGAAAAGUCCA